Molecule: ribosomal RNA, 728 nt
Filed under: uncultured endophytic bacterium
Lineage: Bacteria
Description: bacterial SSU rRNA
Rfam family: Bacterial small subunit ribosomal RNA
Source: RNAcentral
AACAGGAUUAGAUACCCUGGUAGUCCACGCCCUAAACGAUGUCUACUAGUUGUCGGGUUUUAAUUAACUUGGUAACGCAGCUAACGCGUGAAGUAGACCGCCUGGGGAGUACGGUCGCAAGAUUAAAACUCAAAGGAAUUGACGGGGACCCGCACAAGCGGUGGAUGAUGUGGAUUAAUUCGAUGCAACGCGAAAAACCUUGCCUACCCUUGACAUGUACGGAAGGCCGGAGAGAUUUGGCUGUGCUCGAAAGAGAACCGUAACACAGGUGCUGCAUGGCUGUCGUCAGCUCGUGUCGUGAGAUGUUGGGUUAAGUCCCGCAACGAGCGCAACCCUUGUCAUUAGUUGCUACGAAAGGGCACUCUAAUGAGACUGCCGGUGACAAACCGGGGGAAGGUGGGGAUGACGUCAAGUCCUCAUGGCCCUUAUGGGUAGGGCUUCACACGUCAUACAAUGGUACAUACAGAGCGCCGCCAACCCGCGAGGGGGAGCUAAUCGCAGAAAGUGUAUCGUAGUCCGGAUUGUAGUCUGCAACUCGACUACAUGAAGUUGGAAUCGCUAGUAAUCGCGGAUCAGCAUGUCGCGGUGAAUACGUUCCCGGGUCUUGUACACACCGCCCGUCACACCAUGGGAGCGGGUUUUACCAGAAGUAGGUAGCUUAACCGCAAGGAGGGCGCUUACCACGGUAGGAUUCGUGACUGGGGUGAAGUCGUAACAAGGUAACCGUA